Podarcis lilfordi (Lilford's wall lizard) is the source of this 70-nucleotide non-coding RNA. The record is from the annotation of a GenBank genome assembly. NCBI's taxonomy places the organism in Eukaryota, Metazoa, Chordata, Lepidosauria, Squamata, Lacertidae.
ACACACACACAUAUGUAUAUGUAUAUGUAUAUGUAUAUGUAUAUGUAUAUGUAUAUGUAUGUGUGUAUGU